CCUACGGGAGGCAGCAGUGGGGAAUAUUGGACAAUGGGGGCAACCCUGAUCCAGCCAUGCCGCGUGUGUGAAGAAGGCCCUCGGGUUGUAAAGCACUUUCAGUGAGGAAGAACGCCUGGUGGUUAAUACCCAUCAGGAAAGACAUCACUCACAGAAGAAGCACCGGCUAACUCCGUGCCAGCAGCCGCGGUAAUACGGAGGGUGCGAGCGUUAAUCGGAAUUACUGGGCGUAAAGCGCGCGUAGGUGGCUUGAUAAGCCGGUUGUGAAAGCCCCGGGCUCAACCUGGGAACGGCAUCCGGAACUGUCAAGCUAGAGUGCAGGAGAGGAAGGUAGAAUUCCCGGUGUAGCGGUGAAAUGCGUAGAGAUCGGGAGGAAUACCAGUGGCGAAGGCGGCCUUCUGGACUGACACUGACACUGAGGUGCGAAAGCGUGGGUAGCAAACAGGAUUAGAUAUCCUAGUAGUC
Molecule: ribosomal RNA, 465 nt
Filed under: Vreelandella stevensii
Lineage: Bacteria; Pseudomonadati; Pseudomonadota; Gammaproteobacteria; Oceanospirillales; Halomonadaceae
Description: partial 16S ribosomal RNA
Rfam family: Bacterial small subunit ribosomal RNA
Source: RNAcentral